Oncorhynchus keta (chum salmon) is the source of this 2069-nucleotide long non-coding RNA. RefSeq lists it as uncharacterized. NCBI's taxonomy places the organism in Eukaryota, Metazoa, Chordata, Actinopteri, Salmoniformes, Salmonidae. The record is from RefSeq and is a predicted model, not a curated record. The transcript has 4 exons.
ACAGACAUCAAUCAUUAGUUAAAUGUCGCUAGCCCCUGACCUGGGCUGGCAACUGCCCAGCAACCUAGAUAGUCUGUUUUGUGGGAUGACAGCAUUAUCCUUGAGCCUCAGACCACACAAUGUCUGCAUCCCAAAAUAGCACCCUAUUCCCUAUAUAGUGCACUCUGGGCCCUGGUCAGAAGUAGUGCACUACAUGAGAAUAGGGUGCCAUUUGGGAUGUAGCCAAACACACUCUGUAGGUUGUCAAGGAAACACAUGCACACAUGCAGUGUAAGCCUGCUUAGAGAGGAGGGAGAGGAAGGAGAGAGAGGGGAUGGGGGGGAGAGGAAGGAGGGAGAGAGCGAGAGAGAGGAGGGGAGAACAGAACGUUUAAAAGCUGGUUGUUGACUCCAACAAGGGAUAAAGAGUGGAUGUUGGACUGAGGCCCUUUGUGUUGUUACUAAGCAACAGUGAGACAUUAUCUUAUAGUUCAACUAUAUUACAAGGCACUUGUAUUAGUAUAACACUGGCACUGUCUGAAAUACUGAUGUUGACAGAAAAAAGGUGAAAGCAAAGGUUAAACAAAGCAACGUUUAAUGAGAGAGGGUGGUGUCUGUCAGGCGGAGGUCAUGGCUUCAUUUUCCGUUUAAUGAGAGAGGGUGGUGUCUAUCAGGCGGAGGUCAUGGCUUCAUUUUCCGUUUAAUGAGAGAGGGUGGUGUCUGUCAGGCGGAGGUCAUGGCUUCAUUUUCCGUUUAAUGAGAGAGGGUGGUGUCUAUCAGGCGGAGGUCAUGGCUUCAUUUUCCGUUUAAUGAGAGAGGGUGGUGUCUAUCAGGCGGAGGUCAUGGCUUCAUUUUCCGUUUAAUGAGAGAGGGUGGUGUCUAUCAGGCGGAGGUCAUGGCUUCAUUUUCCGUUUAAUGAGAGAGGGUGGUGUCUAUCAGGCGGAGGUCAUGGCUUCAUUUUCCGUUUAAUGAGAGAGGGUGGUGUCUAUCAGGCGGAGGUCAUGGCUUCAUUUUCCGUUUAAUGAGAGAGGGUGGUGUCUAUCAGGCGGAGGUCAUGGCUUCAUUUUCCGUUUAAUGAGAGAGGGUGGUGUCUAUCAGGCGGAGGUCAUGGCUUCAUUUUCCGUUUAAUGAGAGAGGGUGGUGUCUAUCAGGCGGAGGUCAUGGCUUCAUUUUCCGUUUAAUGAGAGAGGGUGGUGUCUAUCAGGCGGAGGUCAUGGCUUCAUUUUCCGUUUAAUGAGAGAGGGUGGUGUCUAUCAGGCGGAGGUCAUGGCUUAAUUUUCCGUUUAAUGAGAGAGGGUGGUGUCUAUCAGGCGGAGGUCAUGGCUUCAUUUUCCGUUUAAUGAGAGAGGGUGGUGUCUAUCAGGCGGAGGUCAUGGCUUCAUUUUCCGUUUAAUGAGAGAGGGUGGUGUCUAUCAGGCGGAGGUCAUGGCUUCAUUUUCCGUUUAAUGAGAGAGGGUGGUGUCUAUCAGGCGGAGGUCAUGGCUUCAUUUUCCGUUUAAUGAGAGAGGGUGGUGUCUAUCAGGCGGAGGUCAUGGCUUCAUUUUCCGUUUAAUGAGAGAGGGUGGUGUCUGUCAGGCGGAGGUCAUGUCUUCAUUUUCAUAGACACAGGGCUGGCCACAGAUACAAUGAAGCAUGACACUGUCUGAUGCGCUAAGAUUAGUAAACCUAGUGUAAAAUCAUCUAAUUAUAAGUAGUAUAUAAAAUGACCAAUUGUUUACAUAAUGAGUAACUUGAUGAAUAUCAUAGAUAAUAGCCUACAUCAAGUACCAACAAUCAUUAUUAUGCUUGACAGUCACAGGGGCAGCCACUGAAAUGCGGGAAUGCCUAGUUAUGCCUGGAAUUAUAAUUGACCUUCCCACCCAGCAGCGAAGCGCAAUCUGCUCCAUAGGCGCGUAUUUUGCGAACAGUUUGCUGCGGGCCGCAAAUUUCACGAUCGAACAUAUUUGCUUAUAGUAUGCCUACCAAUAACGUACAAAUAAUGCUUAUAAAAUAGCAUGACAUGUUGUAAAUCAACAUAUAACGUUACCUGCACAACAAAAUCAAUGAGCUAUUAGUCAAGCGGAUUUGCUGCGUGACAGCAUCAUAGAGAUU